CUACAAUGAAUUUAUUACUCCUCGGAAACUUUCUAGCAGAAAGGGAGAUGGAUCCAUUAUGGCAGAGCCCGGGGUUUCAAUCAGCCACCUCCUGCAGUGCCCUUGCAGUUUUUGACCCAUCCCUGCUUCCCCUGAAGUUCUCGCUGGUGACAGAAAAACAGCAAGGAAAAAAACCCCUCCUUUCCAAGAAUCUUUGUGCCAUGUGAACAAAACCACAGUGAGGUAGACCUAACAACCUAGCCACCACCACCACAUUCCCCCGGACGCUGUGGAAUGUCCAGACACACAUAAUUCUACCCCAGUUCUUUGGAGAGACUAUUUCCCUACCCAGACCUAC
Long non-coding RNA from Cuculus canorus (common cuckoo), 337 nucleotides. RefSeq lists it as uncharacterized. NCBI's taxonomy places the organism in Eukaryota, Metazoa, Chordata, Aves, Cuculiformes, Cuculidae. The record is from RefSeq and is a predicted model, not a curated record. The transcript has 3 exons.